AUGGUGACGCCCCCUACGGGUCCUCCGUUACGGAUAACCCACCCGUCCCACCCAGGCCACGUGCUCACGCUGUACGCCACCGGCGGCGCGCUGUUCCAGUGCGACGGCUGCCGGCAUUACGGCGAGGACGACCGCAGGUACCGGUGCGACCCGUGCGACUUCGACCUUCACGUGUGCUGCGUCCCCUUCAAGGUGGAGGACCUGACGCUCACGCAUCCUUUCUUCAAGGGCUGCACCUUCGACUUCCGCUACAGCCCUCCCGGCGGCACCCUGGCCGGCCGCGGCAGCUUCUGCGGCGCCUGCGGAGACCAGGUGCUCGGCUUCAUGUUCCACGACGGCCACCGCCAGAUCGGCCUCCACCCGCAGUGCGCCAACCUGGCGGAGCGCGUGGUCCAGCACGACGGCGUGUUCGACCUCCUCAGGGAGGCGCCUGCCCAUGGUAGCUGCGGGUUGUGCCGGCAAGGGCAGGGCGGGCGCCGCGACAGGUUUUGGUGCUACAGCUACCUCGACGGCGGCGGCCAGCAUGCGUACACGCAUGUGGCGUGCAUGAUGGAAGCUUGCUACAAACGCUCUCAGGUCGCGCAGGUGAGCGCGCCGACGGCAUGUGCGGUGGGAACGCCGACGACAUGGGAGGUGGGCAUGCCGCAGAGCGCGCCGGGGACAUGGGAGGUGGGCACGCCGCAGAGCGUGCCGACGACAUGGGACACUGGGUUGUCAUCCAGCAUCAGCAAGGUCUCCCUUUUCUGCAAGGUUGCGGUCGCCGUGGCCAGGGUCGCCUCCGCGGUCUCCACUGGCACGGGGGGUGACCCGUUAUGGAUUGACACGACGGCUACAGAACCCACCGAAUAA
Molecule: ribosomal RNA, 849 nt
Filed under: Triticum aestivum (bread wheat)
Lineage: Eukaryota; Viridiplantae; Streptophyta; Magnoliopsida; Poales; Poaceae
Description: partial small subunit ribosomal RNA
Source: RNAcentral